GACGAACGCUGGCGGCGUGCUUAACACAUGCAAGUCGAACGGAAAGGCCCUGCUUUUGUGGGGUGCUCGAGUGGCGAACGGGUGAGUAACACGUGAGUAACCUGCCCUUGACUUUGGGAUAACUUCAGGAAACUGGGGCUAAUACCGGAUAGGAGCUCCUGCUGCAUGGUGGGGGUUGGAAAGUUUCGGCGGUUGGGGAUGGACUCGCGGCUUAUCAGCUUGUUGGUGGGGUAGUGGCUUACCAAGGCUUUGACGGGUAGCCGGCCUGGGAGGGUGACCGGCCACAUUGGGACUGAGAUACGGCCCAGACUCCUACGGGAGGCAGCAGUGGGGAAUAUUGCACAAUGGGCGGAAGCCUGAUGCAGCAACGCCGCGUGCGGGAUAACGGCCUUCGGGUUGUAAACCGCUUUCGCAUGUGACGAAGCGUGAGUGACGGUAAUGGGUAAAGAAGCACCGGCUAACUACGUG
This 468-nucleotide ribosomal RNA is filed under the name uncultured bacterium. RNAcentral's name for it is "partial 16S ribosomal RNA". It matches the Rfam family "Bacterial small subunit ribosomal RNA", at positions 28 to 507 of the family's 1533-position model. The record is from RNAcentral.